AAGAACUCUGGAAUGAGUCUUCGCUUAAAAGAGGCUGGGGUUAUGCUCUCCAGUUUCGCCCAAGGAUGGGGCCGCGGCCGAUCAGGUUGUUGGUGAGGUAAUGGCUCACCAAGCCUUUUACCGGUGCGGGCCGUGGGAGCGGGAGCCCGGAGAUGGGCACUGAGACAAGGGCCCAGGCCCUACGGGGCGCAGCAGUCGCGAAAACUUUGCAAUAAGCGAAAGCUUGACAGGGCUAUCCCGAGUGCCAUCCGCUGAGGAAGGCUUUUACCCAGUCUAGAACGCUGGGGGAAUAAGGAGAGGGCAAGUCUGGUGUCAGCCGCCGCGGUAAUACCAGCUCUCCGAGUGGUGUGGAUGUUUAUUGGGCCUAAAGCAUCCGUAGCUGGCUAGGUUAGUCCCCUGUUAAAUCCACCGAAUUAAUCGUUGGAUUGCGGGGGAUACUACUUGGCUAGGGGACGAGAGAGGCAGACGGUAUUUCCGGGGUAGGGGUGAAAUCCUAUAAUCCCGGGAAGACCACCAGUGGCGAAGGCUGUCUGCUAGAACGCGCCCGACGGUGAGGGAUGAAAGCUGGGGGAGCGAACCGGAUUAGAUACCCGGGUAGUCCCAGCUGUAAACGAUGCAGACUAGGUGUUUGGACGGCCACGUGCCGUUCUAGUGCCGCAGGGAAGCUGUUAAGUCUGCCGCCUGGGGAGUACGAUCGCAAGAUUGAAACUUAAAGGAAUUGGCGGGGGAGCACCACAAGGGGUGAAGCUU
Molecule: ribosomal RNA, 750 nt
Filed under: uncultured archaeon
Lineage: Archaea
Description: bacterial SSU rRNA
Rfam family: Archaeal small subunit ribosomal RNA
Source: RNAcentral